GGACCAUAAAAACUAUAGCUAUAAUUAGUCUAAUUGAUUAUAGAAAAGCAUAAAUCUAAAACUGCAUAAAAAAAUUUAUACUAAAACAUACUAUAUUAUAUAUUCAAUGUGUAGAUGUACUCAUUUGAAGUCCAACAAAAUUGAGUUUUCUAUUUUAUGAUUUCUAUGUGAUUUACUGUGAUUUUUCAAAAAAUUCAGCCAAAAUAAAUAAAAAGAAAAGGACAAAACCGUUUUCAAAACUAGGUCAGUGAUGUAAUGUGCACGGAUUUAAAAGUUGAGAGAUGUAUUUUAUCCGGUUUUAGAGUUCAGGGAUAAAAAUUAGACUUUCGUGAAAGUUGAGGACCUAAAGUGGAUUUUUUUUAAAAAAAUAACAUUUGUUUUUGAGCUGCCCCGUUUCCUAAUCCUGGGCCAUUGAAUUCCUAAUUGGGCAGGAUUCUAGUGCGUUUUUGAGCUGCUCCGUUUCCUAAUCUUGGUAAUGCUGAAAAAAGAGAAAAAAAAGAAGUCUUCCUGUUUAUGGGCUUCCUUGUCUCCCAAUGUACUGCAAUGGGCUAGAUUUCACUUGUGUCGCACUGUCUGUUCCGUGUAAAUAAGGAAGAAGUCCACUUUAGGUCCUUCAACUUUUGUAAAAGUCUAUUUUUCGUUCCUGAACUUCAAAACCGGGUAAAAUACAUCUCUCAAUUUUUGAAACCAUACAUAUUACGUCCCUGAUAUGGUUACGAGCGGUUUUGAAGGCAGUUUUGUCUUUUUCUUUUUUAUUUAUUUUGGCUGAAUAUUUAUAAAAUUAUAGUAAAACACAUAAAAUUUAUAAAAUAGUAAAUCUGAUUUUGUUGGACUUCAGAUAAGU
RNAcentral lists this long non-coding RNA (844 nucleotides) under Sorghum bicolor (sorghum). RNAcentral's name for it is "long non-coding RNA (SBIC_LNC015534)". Lineage: Eukaryota; Viridiplantae; Streptophyta; Magnoliopsida; Poales; Poaceae. The record is from RNAcentral.